RNAcentral lists this ribosomal RNA (105 nucleotides) under uncultured bacterium. Its description in RNAcentral is "partial 16S ribosomal RNA". It matches the Rfam family "Bacterial small subunit ribosomal RNA", at positions 1379 to 1482 of the family's 1533-position model. The record is from RNAcentral.
CCUUGUACACACCGCCCGUCACACCAUGGGAGCGGGUUCUGCCCAGAAGUAGUUAGCCUAACCGCAAGGAGGGCGAUUACCACGGCAGGGUUCGUGACUGGGGUG